UCCCUGGUGGCUCAGAGGUUAAAGCAUCUGCCUCCAGUGCAGGAGACCCAGGUUCGAUCCCUGGGUCAGGGAG
RNAcentral lists this transfer RNA (73 nucleotides) under Ovis aries (sheep). RNAcentral describes it as "tRNA-Trp (CCA) (tRNA-Trp-CCA-22-1)". It matches the Rfam family "tRNA". From Rfam's summary of the family: Transfer RNA (tRNA) molecules are approximately 80 nucleotides in length. Their secondary structure includes four short double-helical elements and three loops (D, anti-codon, and T loops). Lineage: Eukaryota; Metazoa; Chordata; Mammalia; Artiodactyla; Bovidae. The record is from RNAcentral.